UGGGGAAUAUUGCACAAUGGGCGCAAGCCUGAUGCAGCCAUGCCGCGUGUGUGAAGAAGGCCUUCGGGUUGUAAAGCACUUUCAGCGGGGAGGAAGGCGGUGAGGUUAAUAACCUCAUCGAUUGACGUUACCCGCAGAAGAAGCACCGGCUAACUCCGUGCCAGCAGCCGCGGUAAUACGGAGGGUGCAAGCGUUAAUCGGAAUUACUGGGCGUAAAGCGCACGCUGGCGGUCUGUCAAGUCGGAUGUGAAAUCCCCGGGCUCAACCUGGGAACUGCAUUCGAAACUGGCAGGCUAGAGUCUUGUAGAGGGGGGUAGAAUUCCAGGUGGAGCGGUGAAAUGCGUAGAGAUCUGGAGGAAUACCGGUGGCGAAGGCGGCCCCCUGGACAAAGACUGACGCUCAGGUGCGAAAGCGUGGGGAGCAAACAGG
RNAcentral lists this ribosomal RNA (429 nucleotides) under Chloroflexota bacterium. RNAcentral's name for it is "Chloroflexi bacterium partial 16S ribosomal RNA". It matches the Rfam family "Bacterial small subunit ribosomal RNA", at positions 355 to 776 of the family's 1533-position model. Lineage: Bacteria; Bacillati; Chloroflexota. The record is from RNAcentral.